Molecule: ribosomal RNA, 413 nt
Filed under: uncultured bacterium
Lineage: Bacteria
Description: bacterial SSU rRNA
Rfam family: Bacterial small subunit ribosomal RNA
Source: RNAcentral
GGGCCCGCACAAGCGGUGGAGCAUGUGGUUUAAUUCGAUGAUACGCGAGGAACCUUACCAGGGCUUAAAUGUAAGUUGCAUAGAUCAGAGAUGGUCUUUUCUUCGGACUACUUACAAGGUGCUGCAUGGUUGUCGUCAGCUCGUGCCGUGAGGUGUCAGGUUAAGUCCUAUAACGAGCGCAACCCCUGUCGUUAGUUGCCAGCAAGUUAAGUUGGGCACUCUAACGGGACUGCCGGUGAUAAGCCGGAGGAAGGUGGGGAUGACGUCAAAUCAUCACGGCCCUUACGUCCUGGGCUACACACGUGCUACAAUGGCCGGUACAGAGAGCAGCCACUACGCGAGUAGGAGCGAAUCUUCAAAGCCGGUCUCAGUUCGGAUCGCAGUCUGCAACUCGACUGCGUGAAGCUGGAAUC